GAUCUUAGCUCAGUUGGUAGAGCGGAGGACUGUAGUGGGACAUCUGGCAGUCAAUCCUUAGGUCGCUGGUUCGAAUCUGGGCAGGUC
Molecule: non-coding RNA, 87 nt
Organism: Vigna angularis (adzuki bean)
Lineage: Eukaryota; Viridiplantae; Streptophyta; Magnoliopsida; Fabales; Fabaceae
Source: Rfam